UUUUUGAAGGGUUUGAUCCUGGCUCAGAAUGAACGUUGGCGGCGUGGAUUAGGCAUGCAAGUCGAACGGUAAGGUUACUUAGCUUGCUUUGUAACCCUAGAGUGGCGAAAGGGAUAGUACAAUGUAGAUCA
This 131-nucleotide ribosomal RNA is filed under the name Thermoguttaceae bacterium. Its description in RNAcentral is "partial 16S ribosomal RNA". It matches the Rfam family "Bacterial small subunit ribosomal RNA", at positions 1 to 124 of the family's 1533-position model. Lineage: Bacteria; Pseudomonadati; Planctomycetota; Planctomycetia; Pirellulales; Thermoguttaceae. The record is from RNAcentral.